AGACAGAUAGAUAGAUAGAUAGAUAGAUAGAUAGAUAGAUAGACAGACAGGUAGGUAGGUAGGCAGACAGUCAGAUAGAUAGACAGACAGACAGACAGACAGACAGACAGAUAGAUAGACAGACAGAUAGACAGACAGACAGACAGACAGAUAGAUAGACAGACAGACAGACAGACAGACAUUCAGAUAGAUAGAUAGAUAGAUAGACAGACAGAUAGACAGACAGACAGACAGACAGACAGACAGACAGAUAGAUAGAUAGACAGAUAGAUAGACAGACAGACAGAUAGACAGACAGAUAAAUAGAUAGAUAGAAAGACUGUUAGCUAAAUAAAUAAAUAAAUCACUCAAUCAAUAAUAUUCGGUCAGUCCAUCUCUCACAUAUCUACAGAAACACUGGUCAGAUAGUAUUUGUUUUCAAUUUGAAUGAAAACAAGAAUCAAAUCAACUGAUUGCACACGAAACAUAAA
This is a long non-coding RNA of Ictalurus punctatus (channel catfish), 470 nucleotides long. The record is from Ensembl. Lineage: Eukaryota; Metazoa; Chordata; Actinopteri; Siluriformes; Ictaluridae.